Triticum aestivum (bread wheat) is the source of this 2488-nucleotide long non-coding RNA. RefSeq lists it as uncharacterized. The transcript is spliced from 11 exons. Lineage: Eukaryota; Viridiplantae; Streptophyta; Magnoliopsida; Poales; Poaceae. The record is from RefSeq and is a predicted model, not a curated record.
AAACCCUAGCCGGUUCCCCACGCGCGCGCCUCCUCUCCCCUCCCCUCCCACGCGCCUCCUUUCCUCCUUCCCCGCUGCCGCCCGGCCUACUCUUUCCACCCCUCCGGCCGGCUCCUCUCCCGCUCGCACCACCUCCUCCUUCCCACCAGCGCCUCCCUCUCCUCCUUCCCCACCUUCGCCCGGCGUCCUCCUUUCGCCCCUUCGAUCUGGUGCCGCCCAAACCCGAACACCCCGCCCCGGCCCUGGGUCGUGCACCACCUCCGCCGCCGGCAGGAGGGGACCGCGGUGGCCGCCGCGCAGCCCGACGACCAGGAGCUCCCCGACAAGUAUCCUAUAGAGCACUCAGGGCUCAUUACCCUCCCCCUCCAGCCCGCUCGCCUCCCUCUCUCCCUCCCGCGCCCGCCUCUCUCUCUCCCUUCCGCGCCCCCUCCCUGCCCCGCCGCCGCCGCUCGCCUGCGCACCCGCUGCGCCUGCUCGUGGUGUAGCCACGCCUCCGCCGUGGCGCCCUCCACCUAAACCUAGGUCAUCUCCGUGGAUCCGUGCCGCGGUUGCCGGAGGCGUGGGCGCCGCGGGUCAACCGCACCGGGGAGGAUGGGGGCGCCACAAGCCUCGUCGGAGGUCGCCUCUCCAGAUCGGUGGAGGCCAAGGGCAAGGGCAAGGAGGAGGGGAGAAGAAGAAGGAGGGAGGAGUGAUGUUGGGGAGGAUGUGAGGCGGGCUCUUCGGUGGCCGCGAGAACUACGACAAGCGCCUGCACUACCUGUCCAAGGAGGAGGUCGUCGUGCACGCGCGGAUGCGCCGCCGGGCCCAGUUCUCCUGUCGCACCUUCCGCAACAUCAUCGUCCUCUCCAUCAUCGCUGAGGAACAUUAUUUAUCAAGUUUUGGAUCAGAUGCGGGGAUUUCUCCUAAACUCCACCGCCUCAAGAUGUCGUAGUUGGUGUUGUCCGUGCUAUAUUCUGCAGUGCGCUCGACGGCUGCCUCCUCCUCUGCAGCGGCAAGCCUUGGACUAGGUCGCAGCACCAGAAGCAGACGAAGCCUUGGACUAUUCUGCACUGGUCCAGGCGGCAAUCGUCCACAAGAAGAGGGGAAGUCAUGGCAGCCGGGUCCUCAUCUGUGACCGCUCCCUGACCACCAUAUUCUGCUGCAUUUGUUCCUUGUGAGGGGGAUAGUAUAUUAUCCUCAAAUAAUAGUGGAGUGUUCUAAAGAAAGGGCUAGCAUAGGAGAUGCAACGGGGUAGCAUAUUAUCCGAGGAGUGUUCUAAAGUUGCCAAACAUAUCUCCCCCGAAUCUUUUUGCGUUUGGAUCCUUUUGCAUCUCCUAUUCCUCUUUUGGUUUCUUCUUCUUGCCUCUAUCAUUCCUUUGGAUGUUUCUUGGGCUAUUUGGAUGUUUCUUGGGCUAUUUGGAUGUUUCUUGGGCUAUUUUUGCUGCUUGCUAGGCGUUUAUUUCUUGGGUUUUUGCCUUUCACUUUCAUUUUCUUCUCUUUCUUCUUUGACUUUUAUGUGCUUCCUCUUCACCUGAUUGACACUGUGUUGUUUAUGUGCUGCCUACUUUGUUUUGCGGGUACUAUGCUUGUCGUGGAUUGCUACCUCACGUGUACGCAGAGGACAUCUUGGGUGUUCAGCUUUGGAAUAUACAAUAAGUUCGAUGGCUAGCAAUUCAGGAUUCUCGGUUGUCCAAUCACCCAGUAACUUUGAGGAUUCUUGCUGAAACUUAAUGGCAAUGAUUUAAAUAGAGACGGCUCUACGGUAUGGAUAUGAGUACGAUAGUGUUUGACAGUGGCACAAGGAAUGGUGCUCGCAGGUAUCGUGCGGCUAUGCGGGUUGUCAGCAUGGUGUUGCAGUGGUCAGCUGCAGUCCACCUACGCCAUGUUGCUUCCACAGUACCACAAUAUGUUGAUGGUGACACAUUAUGGAAGGGGAGAGGAUCAAUGACCUGAUGUGCAUCAUUGAUGGCGAAGGUAGAUGCCGCCGGAAACGCCACCGUGUCAGAAUGCCAAUGAUUAAAGUUGUGUGCAGUUAACGUGUCUCUGUGAGAGGACUAAAACAAGAGAUGCAGAAUGGGAGAUAGAUAGGGGGAGAACAAAGGAUGUUGUGUACUCUCGAUCUGAUGCCACCAAAGUUGAGAUGAUUUGUGCUCUCUCCCUCCAUCCCAUCAAAAUGUCACACCCUCGUGCCACAAGGCUGCUGAUCUCCUUGCUUCCAGGUCAAGGAAGGAAACCAUGUCAUCAUUGGCCAGUGCAGGUUGCCGCCGGAACCAGAUGGGGUCUCCAGCCAGCCUGCCAUGUGGCUUGCAGUCCUGAUUGUUGGCAGUUAUCCUUACAUAUGUAUAAGGGUUUUAUUACUUUGUUAGUAUGACAAAGUGAAGACAGAACUGAUGUAUUGAAUUACUAAUGGAGUGGUUUUGAUGAGAACUGAAACCUUUUACUUUCAAGGUUGGACAUUGAUAUGAACUGUGAGUAUUUAAUAGAGAAAUUCAGUUCAUAUGAAGCAAAA